GAGGUUGGGUAAUCGCUGUACUCCACUUGAGAGUAUAGAGGAAAGUCCAUGCUCGCACGAUCUGAGAUGAUCGUAGUGUUCGUGCCUAGUCAAAAAAUAAGCUAGGGUAGCUCGGCAUGGCGUCCGGGCUAACGGCGAGAGAAGCGCCUAAGUCCAUUUGGAUAUGGUGUGACCUCUCUGAAAAGUGCCACAGUGACGGAGUUCCCAAGGAAACACGGGAAGUGGAACGCGGUAAACCCCUCGAGCGAGAAACUCAAAUUUGGUAGAGGAACUCUCCAGAAGGAAAUGAACUGAAGGAGGGACAGGCGAUUAGCCUGUAGAUAGAUGAUUACCACCAAAAGUACGAGAAGUCUUGCUUCGUUAUUCAGUACAUUGGAACAGAACAUGGCUUACAGAC
This 397-nucleotide RNase P RNA is filed under the name Pullulanibacillus pueri. Its description in RNAcentral is "Bacterial RNase P class B". It matches the Rfam family "Bacterial RNase P class B". Rfam says of the family: Ribonuclease P (RNase P) is a ubiquitous endoribonuclease, found in archaea, bacteria and eukarya as well as chloroplasts and mitochondria. Its best characterised activity is the generation of mature 5'-ends of tRNAs by cleaving the 5'-leader elements of precursor-tRNAs. Cellular RNase Ps are ribonucleoproteins. The record is from Rfam by way of RNAcentral. Lineage: Bacteria; Bacillati; Bacillota; Bacilli; Caryophanales; Sporolactobacillaceae.